This is a long non-coding RNA of Musca domestica (house fly), 442 nucleotides long. RefSeq lists it as uncharacterized. The record is from RefSeq and is a predicted model, not a curated record. The transcript is spliced from 3 exons. Lineage: Eukaryota; Metazoa; Arthropoda; Insecta; Diptera; Muscidae.
CUUUAAAAAUAAAAUUACCUGUUUUCUGGGCUCUGCAUUGGAAUCAAGAAUAAACUGAAAAUCUAAACCUCCUACAUCAUGAAGAUGGAUCCGCAUUACGUCGUGACUGCUAACAAAUAAAAUGAAAUUGAAUGAAAGAUUACUAAUUGAAAGUACAUUGAAUUGAAUGAAAUACGCAUUUAAAUGGCUUCCCUUAAAAGAUUAAGACAUCCUCAACUGUUGUCGCAAAAGACACUGGAUUCCCAUCCUCAUCUCUCAACCAUGUACCACCAUCCUCCAUUCAAUCCACUGCCGAAUGCUGUUCUCUUACAAUUCGUUCGUUCAACAAAGUGGGAGGGACACAGGAGUAGCAGGCGUCGAAUCAGACUCACAAUCCGUGUAUUUUCAAGAACAAUUUCUAAAUCUAUUUUUACGCACUGCAGAUCGUGGAUUUUUAAAGAGU